RNAcentral lists this non-coding RNA (24 nucleotides) under Arabidopsis thaliana (thale cress). The record is from RNAcentral. Lineage: Eukaryota; Viridiplantae; Streptophyta; Magnoliopsida; Brassicales; Brassicaceae.
GAACCAACAAACUGCAACAUUGAA